Molecule: ribosomal RNA, 457 nt
Filed under: uncultured bacterium
Lineage: Bacteria
Description: bacterial SSU rRNA
Rfam family: Bacterial small subunit ribosomal RNA
Source: RNAcentral
ACUCCUACGGGAGGCAGCAGUGGGGAAUAUUGCACAAUGGGCGCAAGCCUGAUGCAGCGACGCCGCGUGAGGGAUGACGGCCUUCGGGUUGUAAACCUCUUUCAGCAGGGAAGAAGCGAAAGUGACGGAUACCUGCAGAAGAAGCGCCGGCUAACUACGUGCCAGCAGCCGCGGUAAUACGUAGGGCGCAAGCGUUGUCCGGAAUUAUUGGGGCGUAAAGAGCUCGUAGGCGGUUUGUCGCGUCUGCUGUGAAAGCCCGGGGCUUAACCCCGGGUGUGCAGUGGGUACGGGCAGGCUAGAGUGCAGUAGGGGAGACUGGAAUUCCUGGUGUAGCGGUGAAAUUGCGCAGAUAUCAGGAGGAACACCGAUGGCGAAGGCAGGUCUCUGGGCUGUUACUGACGCUGAGGAGCGAAAGCAUGGGGAGCGAACAGGAUUAGAUACCCUGGUAGCGUCGUCU